GGAGUUUGGGCCGUGUCUCAGUCCCAAUGUGGCCGGUCACCCUCUCAGGUCGGCUAUGGAUCGUCGGCUUGGUGGGCCGUUACCUCACCAACUACCUAAUCCAACGCGGGCCCAUCUCACACCACCGGAGUUUUUCACACUCUGCCAUGCAGCAGUGUGCGCUUAUGCGGUAUUAGCAGUCGUUUCCAACUGUUGUCCCCCAGUGUGAGGCAGGUUGCCCACGCGUUACUCACCCGUCCGCCACUAAGUCACAAGAUCCUUCAAUCCGAAGAAAUCAGGUUCAAGUGCUUCGUUCGACUUGCAUGUGUUAAGCACGCCGCCAGCGUUCAUC
Molecule: ribosomal RNA, 331 nt
Filed under: uncultured Ruminococcus sp.
Lineage: Bacteria; Bacillati; Bacillota; Clostridia; Eubacteriales; Oscillospiraceae
Description: partial 16S ribosomal RNA
Source: RNAcentral